This 315-nucleotide ribosomal RNA is filed under the name Triticum aestivum (bread wheat). RNAcentral's name for it is "partial small subunit ribosomal RNA". Lineage: Eukaryota; Viridiplantae; Streptophyta; Magnoliopsida; Poales; Poaceae. The record is from RNAcentral.
AUGGCGACAGCAGUUGCAGCCUACCGACGGCAAACAUGGCGGCCUCCACGCUCGAAUCUUAGUGGAGAAUAUGCGGGCAAGGAUGGUCGAAGCUAUCCACGGCGCGGCCGGGAUGGCUGGAGGAAGCAAGAAUCGCUGGAGAAUUGGGGAACGGGUGGAGGCGGUACGGCGGGCGGGCGUGGAAAGUUUCCUCCCGCCAAGACACAAGAUUUGGAUAGGGGAAACCGCAAUGGAGGAAAGGAUAACAAAAGAUUUGAUGGCUGGGGACAAUUUUUACAACUCGCCCUAAAAAGUUCGCGGGCCGACCGAAUAUAA